AGGCGAGGCUCUGCAUCUAGAUUUACCUCGUUCUCUUUUGUCUCCGCUUUUUUUUCACAUUUCCUUGCGACCCUGGCCCUUGAGCGACAAAAAGGGGAAGCCAAGGCUGGCCCGAGGAACGGAGAGGGCACAUGGCCUAGCCACAAGUGGAGCUUCUGCUCCGCCCGAAGGGAUGCGCUGGAGCGGCCUCUUCCUUCUGCCACGGUCUUUCUUUGCCAACUAAUAUGCUUCUACGUACACCUUUAUUCAUUUGCUUGAACAUUUCCCUGAGAAAAACUAGAAAUGGAAUUGCCAGAUUACUUUGUGUACAUGUUUCCAAACUGUCCUCCAGAAAGAAUGUAAUGCUUUGAACUUCCACUUGAGAAUCAAAUGUUUACCUUCCUCUGUUCCUCCAGAUUUGGACAUUUACAGUGUUCAGCCGUUGUUGUGGCAUUCCAAUUCAAUUGGGAAACAGCUUGAUGUAGCGUCCCCAUAAGGUCCACAGUAAUUAAAUUUUUUUUUUUUUUUUUUGGUGCGGUAGUGCAAUUUCAUGGCUCACUGCAACCUCCACCUCCCAGGUUCAAGCGAUCCUCCCAUCUCAGCCUCCCUAGUAGCUGGGAUUACAGGUGCACGCCACCACACCAGGCUAAUUUUUGUAUUUUUAGUAGAGAUGGGGUUUCACCAGGUUAGCCAGGCUGGUCUUGAACUCCAGACCUCAAGGGAUCCGCCUGCCUCAGCUUUCCAAAGUGCUGGGAUUACAGGUGGAGACUGGACCUCAGAAGAGGGAGUGGGUGCCCCGAGAACUCACAGCUAGCGGACAGUGGAAAGGGCAGGAGCCGGACCAAGGUGAGGACAGUGGAACUGAAGGCCGCUGGUUACCUCUCCUGCCCUCCGCUGGCCACAGUGGAGAAGACAGCCCCUCCCUCCUGCUCUGACCUGACAGUGUUCAUCCAUCGCCCUGUAUUAGCGAAGAACAACAUCAAGCUGGCUAGCAAGGAACUGUAUACAGGGUCCAGCUGGGUAUCACACUGGAUCUCACCCAAAGCUUAGAUGUGAUCCAGCUCAGUAUCACAAAGCAGAACGAAAAGGAUGUGUUUGGGCUGAGAGGCCAUACAUUGGCUCCGGCAUGACGGGUGACUUCUUCCGAGUCUGGCUUCUGCAGCACACAGGGCUUCGCCAGCACCCAGCUCCUGCAGCAUGGGCAGCUCCUGUGACAGCAGGCGCCCGCAGCCUGCAAAGCGUCUCCAGUGCCGCCGCCUCAGUGAACCUCAACCAGCGGCACCUAGCAGCUUUCUCUGCCACCCUCUUCAGGUAGUUCUGUAGCAGCGCGUUUCUCAUGAGACACUUCCCUGUGAGCAGCUUUUUCUACCCUUGAGGAUGGAUUUCCAGCAAAUUCUGCCCAUGUGGUACCACAGCCACUUCUCUGCCAUUCAGUGAAACUGCCGUUGUGCCCUCUUCAAGGUCUGGAUCUAAGCCCAGGGACCAGGAAACCUCUUGCUUGAGUGCUGGAACUCAGGCCAGAAGGUAUGGCUGCUGCUAUGUGCUGUGACCAGAGAAUCAGAGUUCUCUUUACUUCUUACCAGCCAACCUCUUGAAAAUGCCUUUUUGUUUUUUGUUUUUUUUUGAGACGGAGUCUCGCUCUGUUGCCCAGGCAGUGCAGUGGCUCACUGCAACCUCCGCCUCCUGAGUUCAAGUGAUUCUCCUGCCUCAGCCUCACAAGUAGGUGGGAUUACAGGCAUGUGCCACCACGCCCAGCUAAUUUUGUAUUUUUAGUAGUGACGGGGUUUCUCCAUGUUGGUCAGGUUGGUCUCAAACUCUCGACCUCAGGUGAUCCACCUGUCUCAGCCUCCCAAAGUGCUGGGAUUACAGACGUUAGCCAGAGCGCCCAGUCUAAGCCCUUUAUAGCUUAA
Homo sapiens (human) is the source of this 1889-nucleotide long non-coding RNA. Ensembl annotates it as ZNF213 antisense RNA 1 (head to head). Its record names the gene ZNF213-AS1. The record is from Ensembl. NCBI's taxonomy places the organism in Eukaryota, Metazoa, Chordata, Mammalia, Primates, Hominidae.